This 1364-nucleotide ribosomal RNA is filed under the name uncultured organism. RNAcentral's name for it is "16S ribosomal RNA". It matches the Rfam family "Bacterial small subunit ribosomal RNA", at positions 48 to 1414 of the family's 1533-position model. The record is from RNAcentral.
CUAACACAUGCAGUCGACGGGUACAGUGUCUCUUUCGAGAUGCUGACGACCGGCGCACGGGUGAGUUACGCGUAUGCAACCUGCCCAUAGCUGGAGAAUAGGCCGAAGAAAUUCGGAUUAAUACUCCAUAAUAUUUCAAAUUCGCAUGUUUUUGAAAUUAAAAUUCCGAUGGCUAUGGAUGGGCAUGCGUGCCAUUAGCUUGUUGGUGAGGUAACGGCUCACCAAGGCUACGAUGGCUAGGGGUUCUGAGAGGAUGAUCCCCCACACUGGUACUGAGACACGGACCAGACUCCUACGGGAGGCAGCAGUGAGGAAUAUUGGUCAAUGGGCGCAAGCCUGAACCAGCCAUGCCGCGUGCAGGAUGACUGCCCUAUGGGUUGUAAACUGCUUUUGUACAGGAAGAACCUUCUGCUCGUGAGCGGAAUUGACGGUACUGUACGAAUAAGCAUCGGCUAACUCCGUGCCAGCAGCCGCGGUAAUACGGAGGAUGCAAGCGUUAUCCGGAUUCACUGGGUUUAAAGGGUGCGUAGGCGGGAUAGUAAGUCGAUGGUGAAAGCCCGCAGCUUAACUGUAGAAUUGCCAUUGAUACUGCUAUUCUUGAGUGCAGUUGAAGUAAGCGGAAUGUGUAAUGUAGCGGUGAAAUGCAUAGAUAUUACACAGAACACCAAUUGUGAAGGCAGCUUACUUAAGCUGAAACUGACGCUGAGGCACGAAAGCGUGGGGAGCGAACAGGAUUAGAUACCCUGGUAGUCCACGCUGUAAACUAUGAUCACUCGCUGUUGGCGAUACACUGUCAGCGGCUAAGCGAAAGCAUUAAGUGAUCCACCUGGGGAGUACGUCCGCAAGGAUGAAACUCAAAGGAAUUGACGGGGGCCCGCACAAGCGGAGGAACAUGUGGUUUAAUUCGAUGAUACGCGAGGAGCCUUACCUGGGCUUAAAUGCAGAACGACCGGUCGGGAAACUGACCUUCCUUCGGGCGAACUGCAAGGUGCUGCAUGGUUGUCGUCAGCUCGUGCCGUGAGGUGUCGGGUUAAGUCCCAUAACGAGCGCAACCCCUAUUGUUAGUUACCAGCGAGUAAUGUCGGGGACUAUAACGAAACUGCCGGUGUAAACCGUGAGGAAGGUGGGGAUGACGUCAAAUCAGCACGGCCCUUAUGUCCAGGGCUACACACGUGUUACAAUGGCCAGUACAAAGGGCAGCUACCACGCGAGUGGAUGCUAAUCUCUAAAGCUGGUCUCAGUUCGGAUUGAAGUCUGCAACUCGACUUCAUGAAGGUGGAUUCGCUAGUAAUCGCGCAUCAGCAAUGGCGCGGUGAAUACGUUCCCGGGCAUUGACACACCGCCCGUCAAGCCAUGGGAGUCGG